GUGGGCACUGGGGUGAGGCUCGUGUCACCUGGCCCCCCCCGCAGCCGGGGUAGUGCGGGACACGCCGCCUCCCUGCCGGGCAGCGCUGCGGGCCCAGCUAAAGCACGUGACUCGGGAGGUGACGGACGAACACCUUUGUCACGUCCUUCCCCCGUCCCCAGCCCGCGAUGCGCUGGUUGGCGGAGGGGGAUGGGACACAGGACAAUUGUAGCGGGUACCUGGCAACAUCUGUCCUGCGGUGUGAAUAAAGUGAAAUGGGGAGGGGGGGGGCAGCAAUGAUGCACCAAACUUCUCUUGAGGUGCAGGGGGCCACUGGCUGUGGAUACAACUAGGGCUGGGGCUUCAGGUAGCAGCUAAAGUUGUCAAUAUUUCUUCUUCUCCUGAGUUCCAUCAAGCAGCACUCUUGGCAGGAAGCCUGUAGGCAGUUGCAGAAAAGGGGUCAGGGACCCGACCAACCCACUCUGGAAAAGGGGUGAUCUAAAGAAUCAUGCCAAUGUAGUUUACACAGUGGCUGCAAGGAGCAGAGGUACCCGCAUGAUUGCAUGCUGCAACCAGUGCUUUGAAAAGGACACUUUCAUUGUUUCAAAUGGAAACUCCAUGCACAAACAACAUGAAUGAGAAUACAAUUGGGAUGACUGAUCAGACACCACCCUCCCGAAGACUUAAUCUUUAGAAUACUGCUUAGAACGAUUUAAAAGCAAUUGCCUAUGGGCCAGAUCUUCACCAGAUAUAAAUUGGCAUGCUCCAUUGAAUUCCAUGAAGUUAUAUCAAUUUACAGCAGCUGCGGAUCUGGCCCCAUACAUCUGUGACAUUAGUCUUGAUUCAGUGUAUAUGAGGAGUUUUGCAAUCGGCUUUAUAGUGUUCAUGCAAAAGUUGAAAGUGUAAGGUGCUUUACAGAGAAAGAUGAAAACAAGGACUCUGGCCUACUGAUGCUACUCCAGUGCAUUACUAGAGAGGUGAUAAGCCCUUGGAGGGACCCUUACUUGGUC
Long non-coding RNA from Trachemys scripta elegans, 989 nucleotides. RefSeq lists it as uncharacterized. Lineage: Eukaryota; Metazoa; Chordata; Testudines; Emydidae. The transcript has 5 exons. The record is from RefSeq and is a predicted model, not a curated record.